This 396-nucleotide long non-coding RNA is filed under the name Phaseolus vulgaris (common bean). RNAcentral describes it as "long non-coding RNA (PVUL_LNC002401)". Lineage: Eukaryota; Viridiplantae; Streptophyta; Magnoliopsida; Fabales; Fabaceae. The record is from RNAcentral.
UAGAAGAUAAAUAAAUUCUAAAAACAAAUAAAUUAAUAAUAAGAUGGUGAAAAGGAGUUGGAAUGGAAACUCAUGAGACCAGUACCACCGAAGGACCCAAUUUACAUUUGUGUCCAUCCCUGCCAAAACGCAGAGAUGUUAGUUUAGUCAGCAGAACGGGAAGAAAGCUUGGACAGUACUAUUGACGAAGAAACAAAGACAUGCAUGAAAGGAAAACCCUUGAUUCCUCGUCAAUCGAAAUUCCAUAGAUCCCCGACAAUACUUUCCUGAACAUUAUUCGGUGGCAUAGAUUGUCCAUCAUAGUACGGAAUCUGAUAAAACUUCAUGUAGUUCUCGUAAGCCAUCAGUUCCUCAGAAAGCUCCUGCAAUUUGUUCUUUUCCUCUUCAGCUCCGAUC